Molecule: ribosomal RNA, 1308 nt
Filed under: Triticum aestivum (bread wheat)
Lineage: Eukaryota; Viridiplantae; Streptophyta; Magnoliopsida; Poales; Poaceae
Description: partial small subunit ribosomal RNA
Source: RNAcentral
AUGUCAACCAGUGGCCGGGCGGGAUCUGACAAGAGAAAGGAGAAACCAACAGGCUCGACUGUUAGGGGGGAGGAAGGUGUCGACUCCAUGAUGGGCUGCCUAAACCUGCUCGCAGACGAGACAGAGGUGGUGGACAUGAGUGCCGAUGAGGAGGAGGAUGCAGCUCCGCCGGUGAAGUGGUCCCUGUUCGGGAAAGUUUUGUCUCCGUCAGUGAUCCACUCACAUACCACCUUGGCUGCUAUGCGGCCAGCUUGGGGCAAUCCCAGGGGGCUCAGGCUAAGGACGGUGCGUGACAAUGUCUUCGUCGCUGAUUUUGCAAAUAAAGGGGACAGGGAUAGAGCUCAAGAGGGCACACCGUGGAUGGUGGGCAGGCAUGCUGUAAUCCUACGGGAUUACGACCCUCGCCUCAGGCCCUCAGAAAUCAGGUUUGAUUCUAUGGCCAUCUGGGCUAGGAUCAUCAACCUUCCUUUCGAGUUGAUGAACAAUAGAAAGGGUUUGAAGAUUGCGAAGAUGAUUGACAAAAAUUGCAAGGUGGAUGUGGAUGAAGACGGGGAGGCCUCUGGCACCUUCCUUCGGGCAAGGGUUGCAAUCCCUUUUGCCGAGCCAAUUCAUAGAUGGGUCACCAUAUCCAGGGGAGGUGCUACGGAGAAGUUUGAGUUGCAGUAUGAGAAGCUGCCUUUCAUUUGUUUCAGUUGUGGUUUGAUUGGACAUAGCGACUUGGAGUGUCCAAAUCCUGCUGAGCGUGAUUCGGAUGGGAAGCUCCCUUUCGAUCGUGGUUUGAGGGCGCCAGAAGACAGAAGACGACGGAUGCAAUCCUUUAGUCAGGCGGCUGCUUCAGCAUCUUGGUAUAGCGACCCCAUAGAUAGGGGAGGUGGGGGAGGGGCGAAAUCUUUCCCUGGCUCCGCGGCCAGCAGAACCUCCCGAGAAUCGGGGGAAGGGGAGAACGUCAAGUCGGGCAAGCAGGAGGUGGCCUCACCUCCACCCAAAGUAAAGUUGGCCCAAGGGGCCUCUCGGAUGUCUGAGAUUGCAAAGAAAUUAUUCCCGGCGAAGACUGAGCGAAAAGGGAAUGGACAGAAGAAUGAUUUUGACAAACCCAACACGGCUCUGGCUAUGGUAGUAGCGGGUACCAUUGGGGUAGAGGCUGAUAAAAGACUGGAGAACUUGGAUAGGAGCAUCGAGACUUUGAAGAAGCAAAAGAAUGAAAACUCCCACCGCAAGACAAGCGUGGGGCAGGAGGGAGAGAGCGGGGAACAAUUUGUCACAACCUUAGAAGCGGGGCUGCAUGUACAGCCCUGCAAAGAUCAAUGA